Molecule: microRNA precursor, 103 nt
Filed under: Marmota monax (woodchuck)
Lineage: Eukaryota; Metazoa; Chordata; Mammalia; Rodentia; Sciuridae
Source: RNAcentral
UGUGCAAUUGUUGGAUGGUAUGCUAAGAAUAGAUUUAGUUUUGUAAGGAUCUGACAAACUGUUUUCUAAAGUGGCUGUGUCAUUUUCCAGUCCCACCAAUACU